UAUCUUAUUAGUCUAGCUUAUGCUCUCUUUUAUACCAUUUUGGCAACUUAUUGAAAGUUUAAUCUUGCAUAGAUACCAUGUCGAACUGCCAUGAGAGGAAGAUUUCCACUUAAUGGCACUUAUUUUCAAACUAAUGAGGCUUUCCCAGCAGGUCUUUGCAGAUCAUGAUUCUAGUCGCAACCCGAUUCAAGUUCCUCGAAGCUGUCUAUGGAAUCUUCCACGAAGGACUGUAUACUUCGGAACGUCGAUAGCUGCAAUAUUUAGAGGUUUCACUGCUACAGAACCCAUUCAGUACUGCUUCUCAAA
Long non-coding RNA from Phalaenopsis equestris, 306 nucleotides. RefSeq lists it as uncharacterized. The record is from RefSeq and is a predicted model, not a curated record. Lineage: Eukaryota; Viridiplantae; Streptophyta; Magnoliopsida; Asparagales; Orchidaceae. The transcript is spliced from 3 exons.